GCGGACAUAGUUCAAUUGCUAGAACGCGGCGUUGCCAGCGCCGGGAUAUGGGUUGGAGACCCAUUGUCCGCACCA
This 75-nucleotide transfer RNA is filed under the name Woeseiaceae bacterium. RNAcentral's name for it is "tRNA-Gly". It matches the Rfam family "tRNA". From Rfam's summary of the family: Transfer RNA (tRNA) molecules are approximately 80 nucleotides in length. Their secondary structure includes four short double-helical elements and three loops (D, anti-codon, and T loops). Further hydrogen bonds mediate the characteristic L-shaped molecular structure. tRNAs have two regions of fundamental functional importance: the anti-codon, which is responsible for specific mRNA codon recognition, and the 3' end, to which the tRNAs corresponding amino acid is attached (by aminoacyl-tRNA synthetases). tRNAs cope with the degeneracy of the genetic code in two manners: having more than one tRNA (with a specific anti-codon) for a particular amino acid; and 'wobble' base-pairing, i.e. permitting non-standard base-pairing at the 3rd anti-codon position. The record is from RNAcentral. Lineage: Bacteria; Pseudomonadati; Pseudomonadota; Gammaproteobacteria; Woeseiales; Woeseiaceae.